This 239-nucleotide ribosomal RNA is filed under the name uncultured Lactobacillus sp. RNAcentral's name for it is "partial 16S ribosomal RNA". It matches the Rfam family "Bacterial small subunit ribosomal RNA", at positions 125 to 355 of the family's 1533-position model. The record is from RNAcentral. Lineage: Bacteria; Bacillati; Bacillota; Bacilli; Lactobacillales; Lactobacillaceae.
CCGUGCCCAAGAGAUCGGGAUAACACCUGGAAACAGAUGCUAAUACCGGAUAAUAACAGAUGAUGCCUAUCAACUGUUUUAAAAGAUGGUUCUGCUAUCACUCUUGGAUGGACCUGCAGUGCAUUAGCUAGUUGGUAGGGUAACGGCCUACCAAGGCGAUGAUGCAUAGCCGAGUUGAGAGACUGAUCGGCCACAUUGGGACUGAGACACGGCCCAAACUCCUACGGGAGGCAGCAGCC